GAAGCAUUCUCAAAUAUUUCAAUAUCUUCACUGGGAAGCAGUUGAAUAAGCAGGCUAAUUAGGUCCGUCAGGGGUUUAUUGAUAAGCAGAAGGUCUUCAGCAGCCUGCGUGUCCCCUCCUGCGCCGGAUUUCUGUGCCUGCAAAGUCUGGCGCACAAUGUUUGUUGUGAACAUCAGCAUGCAGUGCAAAAUGUCAAGCAAGGACAGCAGCAGUGCAUUUGCUGUCUUGGUGCUGCUUUUAUCAUCUGCCUCCAAGUACAGAGCCACAG
This 268-nucleotide long non-coding RNA is filed under the name Gallus gallus (chicken). Lineage: Eukaryota; Metazoa; Chordata; Aves; Galliformes; Phasianidae. The record is from RNAcentral.